Long non-coding RNA from Myxocyprinus asiaticus (Chinese sucker), 378 nucleotides. RefSeq lists it as uncharacterized. The record is from RefSeq and is a predicted model, not a curated record. NCBI's taxonomy places the organism in Eukaryota, Metazoa, Chordata, Actinopteri, Cypriniformes, Catostomidae. The transcript is spliced from 3 exons.
UGUUUUCUCAACUUCAUUGUUUAAAAAUCGUGUUUGAUAGCGGAAUUCAAUGUAAACAACUACAUUACCCAUGAUACAGCAGAGAAAGAUCCACCAAUCAGAGAACCGCGGCCAACGAAACCCGUGAAACAUGCCUCUGAGAGACCGCCCACUCCCAUGACCUACUGUGAAUGAGGGGCGGAUCUAGAAAUUUUUUCAUGGGGUGGCAAGGAGGUGGCAUGCAGACUAUGAGGGGUGGCAAAACCAAAGCAAGCGUCCAUGCGUAGUUCUUAUGGAUUGAGGAGCCAUAAGAAAGAACCCCUCAACAAAAGAGGCAACAGAGGGGAGCCACCAAGAGGUGGUCUCAACAUUUCUAAAAGGAGCUGGUAGAAAAGGUGG